RNAcentral lists this ribosomal RNA (431 nucleotides) under uncultured bacterium. RNAcentral describes it as "bacterial SSU rRNA". It matches the Rfam family "Bacterial small subunit ribosomal RNA", at positions 917 to 1350 of the family's 1533-position model. The record is from RNAcentral.
GGGCCCGCACAAGCGGUGGAGUAUGUGGUUUAAUUCGAUGCAACGCGAAGAACCUUACCAGGGCUUAAAUGUAACGGGACAGAUCUAGAGAUAGAUCCUUCUUCGGACUCAUUACAAGGUGCUGCAUGGUUGUCGUCAGCUCGUGCCGUGAGGUGUCAGGUUAAGUCCUAUAACGAGCGCAACCCCCAUCGUUAGUUGCCAACGAGUAAUGUCGGGAACUCUAACGAAACUGCCGGUGCAAACCGUGAGGAAGGUGGGGAUGACGUCAAAUCAUCACGGCCCUUACGUCCUGGGCUACACACGUGCUACAAUGGUCGGUACAGAGAGCAGCCACUACGCGAGUAGGAGCAAAUCCCAUAAACCGUGGCUCAGUUCAGAUCGUAGGCUGCAACUCGCCUACGUGAAGGCGGAAUCGCUAGUAAUCGCAGGUC